GUCUACGGCCACGCCACCCUGAACAAGCCCGAUGUCUGAUCUCGGAAGCUAAGCAGGGUCGUGCCUGGUUAGUACUUGGAUGGGAGACCACCUAGGAAGACCAGGUGCUGUAGGCA
RNAcentral lists this ribosomal RNA (116 nucleotides) under Pteropus alecto (black flying fox). Lineage: Eukaryota; Metazoa; Chordata; Mammalia; Chiroptera; Pteropodidae. The record is from RNAcentral.